This 253-nucleotide ribosomal RNA is filed under the name uncultured bacterium. RNAcentral's name for it is "partial 16S ribosomal RNA". It matches the Rfam family "Bacterial small subunit ribosomal RNA", at positions 524 to 776 of the family's 1533-position model. The record is from RNAcentral.
UACGUAGGUGACAAGCGUUGUCCGGAUUUACUGGGCGUAAAGAGCGCGCAGGCGGUCGAUUAAGUCGAGUGUGAAAGCCCCCGGCUCAACUGGGGAGGGUCAUUCGAUACUGAUCGACUCGAAGGCAGGAGAGGGUAGUGGAAUUCCCGGUGUAGUGGUGAAAUGCGUAGAUAUCUGGAGGAAUACCGGUGGCGAAGGCGGCAUCCUGGACCGGCAUUGACGCUGAGGAGCGAAAGCCAGGGGAGCAAACGGG